UGCCAGCCGCCGCGGUAAUACGAAGGGUGCAAGCGUUGUUCGGAAUUACUGGGCGUAAAGGGCGUGUAGGCGGCUUGUUAAGUUAGAUGUGAAAUCCCGGGGCUCAACCUCGGAACUGCAUUUGAUACUGGCAAGCUAGAAUCCCGGAGGGGAGUGUGGAAUUCCAAGUGUAGAGGUGAAAUUCGUAGAUAUUUGGAAGAACACCGGUGGCGAAGGCGACACUCUGGACGGGUAUUGACGCUGAGGCGCGAAAGCGUGGGGAGCAAACAGGAUUAGAUA
This 279-nucleotide ribosomal RNA is filed under the name uncultured bacterium. RNAcentral describes it as "partial 16S ribosomal RNA". It matches the Rfam family "Bacterial small subunit ribosomal RNA", at positions 506 to 784 of the family's 1533-position model. The record is from RNAcentral.